AACGUACGCUGGCGGCACGCCUAACACAUGCAAGUCGAACGAAGUAGCAAUACUUAGUGGCAGACGGGUGAGUAACAUGUAGGUAUCUGCCCUUUGGCCUGGAAUAACACGAGGAAACUUGUGCUAAUACCGGAUAAGUCUUUACGGAGAAAGCUUUAUGCACCAUUGGAUGAGCCUGCACUUGAUUAGUUUGUUGGUGGGGUAAUGGCCUACCAAGACUGUGAUCAAUAGCUGAUUUGAGAGGAUGAUCAGCCACAUUGGGACUGAGACACGGCCCAAACUCCUACGGGAGGCAGCAGUGGGGAAUCUUGCACAAUGGAGGAAACUCUGAUGCAGCGAUGCCGCGUGAGUGAAGAAGGCCCUUGGGUUGUAAAGCUCUUUCGUCGGGGAAGAAAUGACU
RNAcentral lists this ribosomal RNA (400 nucleotides) under uncultured Alphaproteobacteria bacterium. Its description in RNAcentral is "bacterial SSU rRNA". It matches the Rfam family "Bacterial small subunit ribosomal RNA", at positions 29 to 455 of the family's 1533-position model. The record is from RNAcentral. Lineage: Bacteria; Pseudomonadati; Pseudomonadota; Alphaproteobacteria.